CCGCUAUUUGGUGGAUAUCUUGGCUUGGGUACCGAUGAAGAGCGUGACAAGCUGCGAUAAGCUUGGGUUAGUCGCAUGUAGACGUCGACCCCAAGAUUCUCGAAUAGGACAUCCACUUGUGGACCAAUAAUCCACAAGAUUCCCAUAUCCGUAAGGUGAGGGAAAGGGAACCCUGAGAAGUAAAACAUUUUAGUAUCAGGAGGAAAAGAAAACAAUAGUGAUUCCGUGAGUAACGGCGAGCGAAAGCGGAACAGGUCAAACCGAAUCCGUUAGAGAAAUCUCUCGGAGAUGUGGUGUGUGGACCUCAUACGGCCUCCCUAAUGAACGUGAAAACCUCUGGAAAGUCGUGCCAUAGAGCGUGAAAGCCGCGUAACAGUAAAUUAGAAAGCCGAUUUGAGGUAUCCCGAGUAAUGCGGGAUAGUUUUCUCGUAUGAACGUGCCAAACACAUGUUGGCAAACCUAAAUAUACCCCAAGACCGAUAGCGUAAUAGUAGCGUGAGCGAAAGAUGAAAAGAAACCCGGAAGGGUCGUGAAAAGUGCUUGAAACCAAAUAGCUUAAUAAGGAUGCAGCCUGAAAGGAUAGAUUCUACGCGAAUGAGUUCUGGUGACAGAAUAUCAGAGCAUAGAGGACUAGGGUUGCAUCAUCAGUCUGGAAUCAUUGACCAGGGAGUUUGCAGUAGAGGCGAGCUUAAGCGCCGUACGGCGCGUAGGCACAGGGAAACCAAUAUUCUUGCAACCUAAUUAUCACAUUGGGAUGAUCUAUCCGAUAACGGAAUGGUUCUGCCACCCAAAAUCGUUUAGUGAGUCCCUCUAAGGGAUUAGGUCAGAAGAAUGGUCUAAAAGGGCCUAAAGUCUCUGCUGUAAUACCCGAAGCCGGUCGAUCUAUUCCUGGCCAAGAUGAAGUCGUUCGAAAGGAUGAUGGAAGUCUGCAGUAGUGCUGACGUGCAAUUCGCUUACAUGAGCUGGGAAUAGGAGCAAAAGGCUAAUCUAGAUCGGUGAUAGCUGGUUCUCCCCGAAGUUGGUGUCAGCCAAGUCUCAAACGAGGUAGCCAGUGGUGUAGAGCACUAAUUGUGGAGUAUGGAGAAGAAAUUCUUCGCUUCGCUCUUAAACUCCGAAGCCGCUGGCGCCGUAGACUUUGGGAAACGGGUUAGUGGGCGUAAAGUCCAUUGCCGAGAAGGGAACAACCUAGACUUGGGUUAAGGUCCCAAAGUGCAGGUUAAGUGUUAAAAUAAAGGGCGUUAUAUUUCUAAAACAGCAAAAGGAUAGGUAUAGAAGUAGCCACUCCCUAACGAGUGUGUAACAACUCAUUUGCCGAGAAAUAUAGCCCCGAAAAUGGACGGGGCUCAAAUCUGCCACCGAGACCCAAGGGCACGGGUGGAAAAAUCCCGUGAUCCGGUAGGGGAGCGUCCGGGUAGGGUAGAAGCAGGUGCGUGAGUUCCUGUGGACCUGCUCGGAGCGCAGAUCCUGGUGAUAGUAAAAGCAUAGAUGGGUUAGAAUCCCAUCCGCCGAAAGGGCAAGGGUUUCUUCGCAAUGCGUCGUCAGCGAAGAGUUAGUCGGUCCUAAGUGUACCCUUAACUGGUAUACGCGAAAGGGAAACAGGUUUAUAUUCCUGUACCUCGGUACUACACUAGCGGUGACGCAAGGCGUUUUGCUAACGGUUCCGGGUAGGUGGAAUAGGGCUGUCGAAUAUUUCCCUAUUUAAAUGUAUAUGACUGGUGAAUAGCGUAACGCUUAGACCCAGUUGAAACCAUGAAUAGCCAUCCAACUGUGGAAGGUUCCGCCGAUCCCAGGACCCAUUGAAAAGGCAAACGCAAGAAAUACCGAGACCGUACCCAGAACUGACACAGGUGCCCCUAGGUGAGUAGCCUAAGGCGUAUUCGUGUAAAGGAGGUUAGGGAAAUCGACAAAUUAGAGCCGUAACCUUGGGAUAAGGCUUGCUUGCGGUUUUCUUCACGCCACUACGGUAGUGUGAGGGGAACCUCAAGUUGCAAUAACUAAGGGGGGACGACUGUUUAAUAAAAACAUAGGUCUCUGAUAGAGCGAAAGCUUGUUUACAGAGGCUGAAACCUGGCCAGUGGCAGUCUGAUAAAUCGCGGUUACAACCGCAGUAAGUCCUGCUAAACGCCGGGAGUAACUAUAACUCUCUUAACGAACAGCCAUCUCGACUCUCGAGAGAAAGGUAGCCAAAUGCCUUGUCUGGUAAGUUCAGACGUGCAUGAAUGGUCCAACGUUCUCCCCAUUGUCCCAACCUUCUGACGAUUGAAAUCACACACCGGCGAACGGUCCGGUGAAACCCAGUGGGACGAGAAGACCCCGUGGAGUUUUACUGCAGCUUGUUGUUGCGAUUUUGAACUGGAUACAGAGUGUAGUCGGGAGCGUAGAUGCCGUAAUUUCGGUUACGGCGGAGCAACUUUGGAAUACCGGCUUUCCUUUUUGAGACCGCUAACGACGCUUAUACGCGUCGGACAUCCGCAGGUGGGCAGUUUGGCUGGGGCGGCUCACUCUAGAAAAAAUAUCUAGAGUAACCAAUGGUCAGCUCAGGCGGGUCAGGAAUCCGCUGUAGAGUUUAAGAGCAAAAGCUGGCCUGACUGGAUUCUGAUCACCAAGGAAUCCUGAGGCUAACGCCUGGUCUAGCGAUCCUUUACAUUGCUCAUGUGGCUUGUAGAGGUGAUAGAAAAAUUACCCCGGGGGUAACAGAGUUGUCACGAGUAAGAGCUCAGAUCGACCUCGUGGCUUGCUUCCUCGAUGUCGGCUCUUCCUAUCCUGGGAGCGCACAUUCUCAUGCAUGGUUAAUGCGUGGAGGUGUAUAACUUCCAAGGGUGGGGCUGUACGCCCAUUAAAAGGGAACGUGAGCUGGGUUUAGACCGUCGUGAGACAGGUCGGAUUCUAUCUACUGGGUUUGUUGGAGGACUGAGGGUAAGGGAAAAUCAGUACGAGAGGAACAUUUUGCCGGCGCCUCUAGUGUACCGGUUGUCUGACAAGGCAACGCCGGGCAGCCACGCGCUAACAGAUAAGUGCUGAAAGCAUCUAAGCACGAAGCUGGCCCCGAAAAGAGUCUUCCAUUCCAUUUCU
This 3072-nucleotide ribosomal RNA is filed under the name marine sediment metagenome. RNAcentral's name for it is "bacterial LSU rRNA". It matches the Rfam family "Archaeal large subunit ribosomal RNA". The record is from RNAcentral.